GCCUCCUUCGCUGCGCCAGCUUGGUCCUCUGGGACGUGGUGCGUCAUGAAGAGGGAAGGCUGCUGAGCACUCGUCAGUGGAUUCGCGAAGGUCACCGUGUGUCGAGUGGUGUUCUCUUCCUCCACAGCCAGAAUUUCAGGCGCCGGCACAUCCUGAGGCACCUUACUGGCGGACGCUUUCCGACUCGUCCUGUGCUUCAGCGGCUCUUCAUCCUCAUCAUCAUCAGGAAGAUCGAUAACAGUGUUGGGUGGAGCUGCGGAGAAGGAUCAGGAUCAGAGAUCGCGAGUCAGUCGACUAAGAAUGGUAUUAAGAACACAGUACCUGGAUUCGAAGUUGCUGCAUCCUCCAUCUCGUGGUCAUCGGCCCGGGCCGAGGUCUCAGAAGUAGCAGCACUGCAACUCCAAAGGAUCAGUCGACUAACCUCAGCGUCGACCAGAGAUAAAGUUCGCACAGAAUAAGAAAAUAUGAGCAACACAAUUACCCUGAUAUGGUGGGGAUGGACACCUUCAUCUUCGGCAGGAGCUUGGUCGGCUUCGAUGAGGCCGCCCUGGGCUGCUUCGGCGCCUUUUCAGUCGGCGCCGGAGAGGUGGUCCGAGGGCGCUUGGUCGACUGAGUGGCGGUCACAACCCCCUUACCACGUUCGGUCGAAGGGUCGUGGACAAGCUUCGACCGCCUUUCUGAGCGCGGUGGAACGACCUCCUCCUCCUCUUCUUCCUCGUCCUCGAUGUCAUCUUCAUCACCUUCAUCAUCAUCAUCGUCGUCAUCAUCCCCUGCAGCAUCCGAGUCCCAUUCCUCCUCUUCCUGGCUCUCGCCCCCGCUCGCCUCGCCCCCGCUCGCCUCGCCUUCCUCAGUCGAAGCUUGUGCCCCAUUGGGCAUCGAGUACAGCUCGGUGAAGGCCUAGCAGAUGCCCAAACAAGGAUCAGUCGACCAGUCGGCAGGGUUAGCAGAAAUGAAUACGACAAGGACACAAUGGAAAGCAGAGCAAGUGUACCUUGUUUGGGUCGCUGUUGUGGUCGAGUGGAGGAAUCCUUCUGGCUCCGCGCAGGUUGUCCCUGUUUCCGGUAACGGCUACCAUCCAUCUUUCCAGAGUGGCAUCGUCGACUUCUUCUGGAUGGACUCUAGUCUCGUCUUCGGGCCCACAGUACAACCACAUGCAGUGGCUCCGGAAUUGAAGGGGUUGGAUGCGACGCCUGAGGAAGACCUCCAGAAGAUCCAUGCCCGUCACCCCCUCCCGAACCAACUGCACCACGCGCUCCAUCAACAUCUUUACGUCGGCUUUCUCCUCCGGAAUCAGCUUCAGAGGGGAGGGCUUGUUCACUCGGUCCAUGGUAAACGGAGGGAGUCCGCUCGACUGCCCUGGCGUCGACUGGACCUGACAGUAGAACCAAGUCGACUGCCAUCCUCUGACGGACUCGGGAAAGGACAUGGGCGGGAAGGUGCUAUUAUUCCUCACCUGAAUCCCCAGGCCCCCACACAUUUGGACGACUCGGGUCUUCUCAUCACCUGGGCUCGCCUUCUUCACGGUCUGAGAGCGACACGUGAAGAUACGUUUGAACAAACCCCAGUGCGGUCGACAGCCCAAGAAACCCUCACACAUGGACGCGAAUGCAGCAAGAUAGGCAAUGGAGUUUGGGGUAAAGUGGUGGAGCUGCGCUCCAAAGAAAUUCAAGAAGCCACGGAAGAAAAUGCUUGGCGGCAAGGAAAAUCCACGAUCAACAUGAGUGGCCAGAAGCACACACUCACCCUCUUCUGGCUGUGGCUGCCACUCCUUCCCCGGCAACCUCGCAGCUCCGUGAGGGAUCAAGCCCUCGUUGGCCAUGUCGAGGAGGUCCUUCUCCGUGAUGGUCGACUGGAUCCAGUCUCCUUGGACCCAGCCUUUUGGCAGGCGGGAUCUGGACGAGGACCCUCUGCGGCUGGUGGAUCUCCCCUUCGCCUUCUCCGAUGCCGACGCCUUCUUGGCACGCUCCAGCGCCACCGUCUUCUCCUUGGCCAUGGUCGCCGGUGAGAUGCACGAAGGGAAGUGGUGCGGGGGCGAGAGCAAGCACGAUGAGCAGGGAGGAAGGAAGCAGAGGGAGAGAGGGAGAAUGCUGAGGCGCAGCACAGAAAUCCUCGCCGGGCACAUUUAUAAGGUCCCUUCCGAGUGGCUGACAUGUGGGCCCGGUCGAUCUAAUCAUAUCUGGGAGCAGUUAUGAGGACUGGAUACGUGGCGAAAAAGGCGGCGCGGAGAUCGAGGCGUCUAUGCCCCGUCCCAUCCGAACGCCGCGGUCUGCCCCGCUUCGCGCGCGCCCCCAAAUUUCGCACCCCGCGGAAUCCGCGAGCAACAAAUCAGUCUGUCAGACGCGGUGUUUCCGGCGAUCCGUCGCUCGGAGAUCGUCGAAGCUCGAAAGAUCACUCGACGCAAAAAUAGAAUGGAUCGAGUCGACCGAAGACAAAUUGCUCCCUGUCAACGAAGAGAUUCUUUGAUCCAGAACAGCGCACAACUAGAGCGCAAAGGUUAAUCGGAAACGACAUCAACUCCUUCUUCACUCGAAGCCUCAAUCCAUUCGGGGGCUAAUGAUGGGGUUAUGUACCUAGGGUAGGGUCAUGGACCUGAUCCAAGUAACUUACCCUAGGACAUCCCUAGAAGAGGUCGCCUUCCAGUCGACCAACGAGGAUUCACUCGACUGGCCUGAAGGACUCGACCACGAAGACUCACUCGACCACCAGGAGGUCAAGAGGCACUCUGCACCGCAACGGCCUGUAAUUAAGUAGACUUUAUGAUAGUAAAGGCACUUUAUGUGGGGCGUUACCAGUAACGCCCCAGACUUAACUCACCUUAAACCCUCUCCUACGUGGGCUGGCUGGGGUCCUGGCGCACUCUAUAUAAGCCACCCCCCUCCACAGGCAGAAGGGUUCGGCACCUUGUAAUCCAUACAUUCAUAAUCCACUCGACCGCCUCCGGGCUCCGAGACGUAGGGCUGUUACUUCUUCCGAGAAGGGCCUGAACUCGUACAUCCUUUGUGCUUACAACCUCUCCAUAGCUAGGACCUUGCCUCUCCAUACCUACCCCCCACUCUACUGUCAGGCUUAGAACCACGACAGUCAUAGUUGGGAAGCGGAUUAGGAGCACUCGGGUGCUCCACCCCCCCUAUAUUUAAAAAUAAUUUAAUAAUUAAAAAAAAGCCAAAAAAAAUCUUGGAUAUAUUUUUGAACCAAAUAUGACUAGGUAUUGUACUCAUAUAAAAUGUUUGGCCAAGGAAUAAUUCCCGUUGACUUCAGGGCAAAAAAACCAAAUUUAUGACGACAAUAUAGCAUGAAUAGUACUUGUAUCUAGCAUUUUUUGGGAAAUCUUUGACCACGGAUACAAUAUAAGUCAUUUCCUAUUUAAAUAUUUUUAUACGAGUGCAAUACCUGGUCAUGUUUGAUACCAUAAAAAGUUCCGAGAUUUUUUGACUUUUUUUGAAUUACUAAAUUAUUUUUGAAUAUAGGGGGGCGUAGCACCCGAGAGCUCCUAUGCGUUUUCGUCAUAGUUGUGACUAUUUACACCUGUAACUGCUAUAGUUAUGGGCAUUAAUCACCCUGGUGACUUGGGAAUGAAGGAGGCUGCGACGCACUGUACAUAAGCCGUCCUCCUCCUCUAGAGCAAGGGUUAAGCACUCUGUAAUCGUACCCCCCCUCCCCCCAAGAAAACAAGCCUCACGGCAUGAGACGUAGGACUGUUACCUCCUCUGAGAGGGGUCUGGACUCGUAAACGACCGAGUGUUACACAUGUGUCGUACUUAGGCCCUGCCCCUAUUUCAUACCCCUAGUACUCAUUGUCAGGAUCGUAACCCCGACAUCUCCCACUUGUUUCCCAUUACUUGGUGGUUAUUCAUUGGCAGAGUGGCUCUUUUAUUCUCCCCUACAGCUUCUUCCUCUUCCUCAUCCAAUCCAAUGGGCCGGUUCAAGUUUGAGCCAUCAUUUGUCUUCAACUUCUUUGGCCUUUCUUGAGGUUUUCCACAACUUGUAUCCACUCUGGUUGGCCAUUCAAUUUAAUCCAAGAAUGGCUAAAACCGAAUGGCUUCUUCUUGGUUGCUGGUACAAAGUGGCCGCCAACACCACCUAUCAAAAAACAAAGUUAUCAUGAUAAUCGGACGUAAAAAAUAUUAGUGCAAAUUACGACAAAGCAAAUCAGUUCAACUUAGAUGAUUUUGGACUCCAAUCCAACUUUGAUUCCGGCCAUGCGGAAGCACAGUGGCCAACAAACUUGUUGAUGCGCUCUCGGAUGGUGGACCAUCUGUGUAGGAGAGAGACCAGAUUAUGGGUUAUAUUGUUCGGAUUCGGCUCCACAUAUUCCUUGUGUUCAUGAUACUGCUUCUAAAUCUUCUCCCAAUACUUGCUGGUCUUCUCCUUUGUGCCACAUAUAGGGUCCAAUCUUGUGGCCAACCAAUAUUAAACCAACAAAACAUCCUCCACUACUAGGAAAACGGCUAUAGAUGAAAUGGACACUAAUGACGAACCACGUGUGUGGUGCGCCAUUAGAAUAUAGCAAUGGCGCAUCACAUAUAGGUACACCAUUAGUAAUAUAGUAAUAUAUUACUAAUGGCACACCUGGUGUGCGGUGCCCCAUUAGAAGUUUUGAAAAAAAAAUUGUUACUAAUGGCGCACCGUGGGUGUGGUGCGCCAUUAAUAGUUGACACAGUAAUGGCGCACCACACCCACGGUGCGCCACUAGAAGUUCGGAAAAAAAGGGCAACCUGGUGCAUGUAGCUCCCACUUGCGCAGGGUCCAGGGAAGGGUCCGACCACUUUGGGUCUAUAGUACGCAGCCUUUCCNNNNNNNNNNNNNNNNNNNNNNNNNNNNNNNNNNNNNNNNNNNNNNNNNNNNNNNNNNNNNNNNNNNNNNNNNNNNNNNNNNNNNNNNNNNNNNNNNNNNNNNNNNNNNNNNNNNNNNNNNNNNNNNNNNNNNNNNNNNNNNNNNNNNNNNNNNNNNNNNNNNNNNNNNNNNNNNNNNNNNNNNNNNNNNNNNNNNNNNNNNNNNNNNNNNNNNNNNNNNNNNNNNNNNNNNNNNNNNNNNNNNNNNNNNNNNNNNNNNNNNNNNNNNNNNNNNNNNNNNNNNNNNNNNNNNNNNNNNNNNNNNNNNNNNNNNNNNNNNNNNNNNNNNNNNNNNNNNNNNNNNNNNNNNNNNNNNNNNNNNNNNNNNNNNNNNNNNNNNNNNNNNNNNNNNNNNNNNNNNNNNNNNNNNNNNNNNNNNNNNNNNNNNNNNNNNNNNNNNNNNNNNNNNNNNNNNNNNNNNNNNNNNNNNNNNNNNNNNNNNNNNNNNNNNNNNNNNNNNNNNNNNNNNNNNNNNNNNNNNNNNNNNNNNNNNNNNNNNNNNNNNNNNNNNNNNNNNNNNNNNNAAAAAUAAAAGAAAAUAAGUUUGCCAUGUGAUAUGUGGUCUAGUUGUUGGGAAAAUUUACAAAUAUAAAUUUUGACUUUAUUUGCAAAAUCUCUCUGAAAAUUUGUAAAAUGGGCAUAACUUUUGUAUACGAACUCGGAUUAAAAAGUUUUAUAUAUGAAAAAUCAUCUACUCGAAAAGUUACAUCCGAAUUUAACUGGGGGAACCCCGUUAAACAUUUUCAAAAUCCCCAAAAACCUAACACAAAAAAAAGGUUUUGAUUUUUUUAAAAAAAUUUCUUUUCAAAAAAUGAUACGUAAUAUGACCGGGAAGUUUGAAAUAUUUUUCAAAAUUUCAUCAUAGUCAUGAACAUGAACAAAGUCCUAGAUAUCAACAAGGUAUAAUAGGAUUGAUAUGCUAGAUAUAUCAACAAGUGCCUGUGAAGUGAGCUGUUGCUAGGGUUGGAUAGAACUCUGAAGUUAAGCGUGCUUGGGCUAGAAAAAAAAUUGUUGAUGUCAUUAGAAAAAAAAUUCUAAUGGCGUGGUGCUAGUGGCGCACCAGUAGUGCGCCAUUAGUAGCAAAAAUAGGUGCGCCACUAGCAGCCCUUUUUCUAAUAGUGCUCAAUUGUUGUGAAUAUCAGGCCUCUUGCAUUGGGUAUCUUUGCCCUUUUCUUCUUAGUGCGCAUGUCCCCCAACAUAAAAAGUAAGAUAAUUUGGAACCCCCAAGCCAUAUUGCGUAGGGUCCGUAGGCUCUUGCCCCUCAUCGAUCAUGUUCGACAUGAAAUUUUCCUAAAAUGAUCAUGACUCAAAAUAAACUAACGUAAUAUGCAACUAAUUGAUUUAGUGGCAUAUGCAACUAACUAAUCCAGAACAUCAUAGUCAAUAUAGUGAACGAAGCGAUAAAAAUGGAGCAAAAUUUGUACCAUCUCCUGAUGUGUCAUUCUGUCGAAUAGGAAUGGGCAGACAAGGCAUGUUGUCUCCAUGGACAGAUAUUUCCAUGAUCUCGGUUGAGAUCGAAGUUUAUGUUGAUUCCCAUUGUAUUGCAAGGACUGCUUAGCUGGGACUGUAUGAUCCACAAAUGACGGAGUCACAUCCGACAGAUCUCGGGUAAUGGGUCCCGAGCUAAGUGUGGCCCACCAGCGAUGGAGUCAGAUCCAACAGAUCUCCGGUAGGGGGUCCUAAGCUAAAUGUCUCGACACGAUGGAAAUAUGGGCAUAUGUUUUUACCCAUGUUCGGGCUCUCCUUACAGAUAAACCCCUACGUCUUGCUUGUGUUUGUACUGCUUUGGGAUGAAGUACACGGUAUAGGUGGUCCACCUCGAGGUUGUUGUGUGUUUCUAGAUUUGAUAAUCUAAAUUCUGUUCAACUCUCUAGCCCGGCCUCGACUUAUAUAAGAAAACCGAAGGCCUAGGUUUACAGAGUCCUGGUUAGCUACGUCAGUGGAGAAGAAUCCUCCACGAGUAAGGAGUACUUGACUUGAACGACAAGACUUCUUGAUUUUCCUCGGAGAUCGCCAUGGGCCGCCCAAAAUGGCCCAGGAUGGAACCGACAAGGGGGUCCUUAGCCCGACCCACCUUGGCUGGGAGUCGACAUGGUGAGAGUGAAAGCUCCAAGGUUGCAACAAGUGACGCACAUACAGUGCGCCACUUAUCACAACCUGAGGAGGUGAGAGUGACCUUUGCAAAGAGUGAUCCUUAAUUAGUGAUUUUGGAUUGCCAAACCCUUCUACCGUUGAGAGGUCCUAGUAUGUGCAUUCAGCGCCAUGAACUAUCUUGGGGCUCACCGCUGCUCCUUUCGCAUGUUCGCCCUUGUCAUAUGUCGUUCAAUCCAUUUUUUUAUCCGCUCUCUUACAGUCCAUGAACUUAAAAAAAAUAUGAAAAUAAAAAAGAAUUACGAACUAGAAAAAAAAUUAUGAAUUUGAAAAAGUUCAACGGGUAGACUUUUGACAAGCUGACCAUUAACCAUUGACCUUUGACCAUAUAUGUUGUUCGUAGAUUUUUUUUGGAAAAAAAUCAUAUAUUUGAGAAAAAGAUCACAAAAUUUGACAAAAGUUUGCAAGUUUGAAACAAAGUUUGUAAAUUUGAAACAAGUUCGUGAUUCCAGUUGGAAAAAGUUCAUAGAUUUGAAUAAUGUUCAUGAAUUUAAGAGAAAUUUCACCUAUUUGAAUAGAAAUUUCAUUAAUUUGAAAAAAGUUCUCAAUUUCGAAUUUGAAAAGACCUCAUGGAUUCAAAAAAAUGUUCACAAAGUUGUAAGAGAAUCACUAAUUUGAAAAAAGUUCAUGGAUUCAAGGAAAGUUCAUGAAUUUGAAAACAAUUCACAAUUUGGGAAAUUUUAUGAAUUUAGUAUUUUUCGAUUUUUUUUAAGUUCAUGCAUCUGAAAAAAAAUGAUCAAUUUAAAAUGAAAACGGAAAAAGUGUAAAAGCUGGUCCAGAAAAAUAAGGUCCGAAGCUUCCAAAAACCGGGACGAGCGCCUCCCACGAAAGUGCAUUACGUGGGCCGGCAAAACUACCCUAGCAAAGAAUGACCUGAACCUAAGCGAUGUCUCAAAUCUCGAUGCCACGAGCAAUCAAGGCGAUGCCUUCAGAAGGAAAACAACGCCGUGACACACAAGCUUUGCAUAUUCAUGAGAGAAGACCAAAAUAACAGUACGUGCCUCAUUGCUUAUUUUGUUUCCUCAUAUAACAGUACGUGCAGUUCAACCCAGGUGUAUAUGUGUAUCCCGCCACUUCUAUCGUUAGGAAAGACUAUAAAUACAUCCAUUCAUCUACGUAUCUCUCACGCUCUUUACUUUUGGCUUGCAAUAAUAAUACGACCAAAGAGACUAGCGCACCACAAUACUACAUAUACCCAUGCUGAUAAUCAUACACCCGUCAAUUCUAGCUGUGUCCAGGUCGAAGUAACAGACGGGAACAUCACGGUGGUGAUGCAAGAGACUAGCGCGUUUGGACGCUUCGCAUCACCUACCUUUGGAUGCCUCGCAUGAAUCAAGUCGUGUCGUCCGCUAGCUUCCGCCUACCACCCACGGAGCAGAGCCAGCGAGCAACUAACACCGGCCAACUACCCACUGGAGUUGAAUGCAGGACGUCCAAGGUGUGCCCGUCAACCAUUCUGCUGACCGUAGUCAUGGCGAGCUGGUGCAAUUCAGUGCAUGCUCUAGGUCUAGGGUAGAGUGUUCAACGGAUUGUUACAGCGGCCGUGGGCGAUUCAUUAGACGGCUCCCCGCAGGUGGACGUCGUCGCAUUUCACUUUAUCUUUCUUUAAUCGCUUACCUGCUCCGUCGGCGGCGAUGGCCGCGUACGCUCCCUACGUGUCGCCGCAUGGCAUGCACAUGGACCGAUGGCCGGCUCGGGCCACGGCAGUGCGUGGCCAGCUAUAAAUACCCCAGCCGGGAGCUCCUAGAUCCAUCUCCACACAACUACCAGUACACUCCACUCCCAUCACACACACGGACACACCUGCAAGAGCGAGAGCGUGAGCCAUGGCGGGCAUGGGGAAGCAGCCGGUGGUGGCGGCGCUGAUGCUGGCGCUGGUGGUGCUGGCGGCGGCGCCGGGCGGGGCGCACGCGGCGUGCCAGGCAUCGCAGCUGGCGGUGUGCGCGUCGGCGAUCCUGAGCGGGGCCAAGCCGAGCGGUGAGUGCUGCGGCAACCUGAGGGCGCAGCAGGGGUGCUUCUGCCAGUACGCCAAGGACCCCACCUACGGGCAGUACAUCCGCAGCCCCCACGCGCGCGACACCCUCCAGUCCUGCGGCCUCGCCGUCCCCCACUGCUAGGCGCCGGCAGGCCCCUGGCGCAUAUGGCAAGCUAGCUGCCUCAGUGACCAUGAGAGCGUCAGACUAUAGCUAGCCCUAGCUGAGUGCGUGUUGCGUCCAUGAACGCAUCUUCCUGUCAACCAUGUGGUUCGACUUUGAUGAUGCUGGAAUAAAAAUAUAAAAUGUUGGGUGAUGAUCUACGGCGGCCAUGUUGCUUCUUGGCUGCUGCUGCUGGUAAUAAAAUUUGUGUUGCAACUUUGAUGAGAUCGGCUGAGUUGUGUUCAAUGACCAAACCAAACUGCCCCUAUCUUAGAAUUGUUAAAUCCAGUGGUGCGGUAUGUAGCGGCGAAGAAUCAAUCGUUAGUGCUUUUGGUGCAGUGACUUUAGGUAUAAGCGGUAUGAAUGGAAUACAUGGAAAUGCUUGUGGGCCCUCUGCAUNNNNNNNNNNNNNNNNNNNNNNNNNNNNNNNNNNNNNNNNNNNNNNNNNNNNNNNNNNNNNNNNNNNNNNNNNNNNNNNNNNNNNNNNNNNNNNNNNNNNNNNNNNNNNNNNNNNNNNNNNNNNNNNNNNNNNNNNNNNNNNNNNNNNNNNNNNNNNNNNNNNNNNNNNNNNNNNNNNNNNNNNNNNNNNNNNNNNNNNNNNNNNNNNNNNNNNNNNNNNNNNNNNNNNNNNNNNNNNNNNNNNNNNNNNNNNNNNNNNNNNNNNNNNNNNNNNNNAACCGCGAUAAAAUUUCUGCUCUUUUUUUUAGGGAAUUUCUACUCUGUUGCUAUAUGCUUUGUAAACAAUCGAAAUAUGCCUUCAAGGGCUCAAAAGAAUGUUUUUGGCUUUCUUAGUAACAUUUUAAUUCAUAGCGAGAGGAUCUUCGAAACAAGACCAAUCAUGGAUAAAACAUUGAACCAGUUUUUAUUUUAUUGUUGCUAUCCUAUUUCAAGUCAGUUUCUGUAAUUUACUCUUUCAAUCAUAUUUGAAAUCAUUUUCAUAUAAUAAGAAAACACAUCAUAGAUUAAAAACUAUUAGUUUCACACACUGAUUUUUUUUGAGGAAAUAUAAAUAGGUUUCCAACAUAAAAAAUCAUAUAUUAAAAGUAUAAGUUUACAUACUGAAAUGAGAAACUUCAGAAAAUAUAAACCAAUUUCACAAAUAAAAAUUAUGUUUCAUAUAUUGAAAAUAUCAACUUCACGCACUCUAAUGAGCAGUUAAAAAAUGUAAAUCAGUUUCACUCAUUGUAAAAUUAGGUUUCACAUUUUUAAAUAACCAGUUGUACUUCAAGAAAAUUCACAGUAACAUAGCUGACAAAAAGAUGUUCCAUGCAUUAUAAAUAUGAAUAUCUCACACUAUAGUAAGCAGCUUCCCAAAUUCUCGCCAAAAGACGAGUUUUGCGUUUUUUAAAGAAAAGGUAUAUAAGAUUUGUAGAAAAAUAGUUUCACAUAAUAAAAGAAACCGUUUAAAGCAUUGAAACAGAAAAUCCGUUUACUGGAUUCAAAAUCUUAGUUUCACACACUGAAAAGAAGUAGCUUAAAGAAAUUGUAAAUCAGUUUCACUCACCGACAAAAAGCACUUUCAUAUACAUGGUGGUAGCUACGCACGCAUGGUGGCAACUACACACCCUUUGUCAUAAGUGCCGUUUUUAUAUAUGAGGGAGUAGUAAGAAAAGUUAUAUAUGAGGUGUCGGGUUUCUUAUGGCAUUGCCACAAGUGCAUUUUUUGUUGUAUAGAAAUGACCUUUUCUCACUUAUCGUUGUUUAUAAAGGGACUUUUCUCAGUUCUCUUUGUCUUUUUGCUUGCCAUUUUGGUAUAAUUGCUUGUUUGCUUGCUUGGAUGGUACAACGUCACGAUAUUUUUGUUAUAGAGUUAUUUUUGGUAGUCCAAAAUAAUUUACCAAAAUAAUUAAAGAUAAAAAUCAGGGAUGUGCGUAGCUACCACCAUGGAUAGCAAAUUAUUUCUGAUUUUUGAAAUAACUUGUUUCACACAUUUGACAAUACAACACUUCCACAAACUUUCACACUUUGAAACAAAUUGUUUCAUAUAUAUGAGAACUAAUGGUUCACAUAAUUUAAAUAAUAAAUUUUACAAUUUUAAUUAUUGUGAAAUUAAUUUAUAUUUUGCUUGAUUUCACAUAUUUUGGUAUCCCAACUAAUUUUCUUCAGUAUUAAUUGAAAUGUUUAAAGCCAGAUCAUAGGUCUUGUUUUAGAUCUUCCGCAUAUUUCAUUUAUUUAGAUAAAGUGAUUUCAAAUAUCAUUAAUCACACAUAUAUCAAAAAAGUGAUUUGUACAAGUUUUUGUAUUUAAAAAACAUGAUUUCAUUUGAUUUAACCAAUUUUAGAAAAAAACAUGUUUCAAAUAAUAUAAAUGUGAUUGAAACAAUGAAAUUUAAAGAUGAUUGAAAUGUAUCCUUGAUUGGUUUUGUUCUAAUGAUCAUAUUGUCAGGAAUUCAAAUAUAUAUAAUUAUUUAAACUAUAAUUUUGGAUUAGAAGAUAUGAAUUAUCCAUAUUAUCAAAAACUGAAAAGAAAUGAAUUGUAUUUUUGUAUAACUCUACCACACAACUCUCUAUGCCCAAAUUGGCUAAACCAUUAUCCUUUAUUUCUGCUUUCUAAACAUUAACUUUUUUUGUUUUUAUUUCUGUUUGUUUUUCCUUUAUCUUUAUCUUUUUAGUUUAUGCUUUUCCACUUUUUUCCAUUUUAAGCUUCCUGAACUUUUUUGUUCAAUUUUCAAAAAAAAAAUCAAAGUCAUAAAUAAUUUUUAAAUUCAUAUAUUUUGUCAAUUUCGUAAACCUUUUUCACAUUCACCAUUUUUUCGUCCAAUUUUCAAAUCCUUGGCAGCACCGAGCGGGCAGCCAACAUGGACGAACUACUUGGCUGACCUACCGACUGGAUUUGAAUGCACUAGGUACGUCCAUACUACAUAAGUGUAGCCAUGCAUGCAUCAACCUCUUUGCUGACCCUAGUCAUGGCGAACUACGUACUGCAGUUCAGUAACUAGCCGGCUCGCGACAGGUGGAUUCUUAAUUAGCUAGCUAGGUUGCCAGCACUCCAAAUACUUGGCGAAGUAUCGGACGGUGCGUGGCCGUCUAUAAAUACACCGGGAGUCCAAACCACCAUUGUAGCAGUCCAUCACACUCAACACCUGCCACUGCGAGAGUGAGCGAGGAGCAGACCAACGUACGACGACGGCCAUGGCGAUGAGGAAGGAGGUCCUGCUGGUGGCCAUGAUGCUGGCGCUGGUUGUGGCGGCGCCAGGCGGGGCGCUCGCGGCGUGCGAGGUGGGGCAGCUGACGGUGUGCAUGCCCGCGAUCACCACCGGCGCGAAGCCGAGCGACGCGUGCUGUGGCAACCUGCGCGCGCAGCAGGCGUGCUUCUGCCAGUACGCCAAGGACCCCUCCCUCGCUCGCUACAUCACUAGCGCGUAGGGCUCAGCUAUAGGUAGGCUACCUCCCUCCAUGAGAGAUGAUAAGAGACUAUAGCUUAGCCUAGCUGAGACCUGAGAGAGUGCAUGCUGCGUCCAUGCACUCACGCAUGAUUCUGGAAUAAAAUGUUGGGUGAUGAUCGGUGCUGGAAUAAAAUGAGUUUUCCUACCUUCUCCUCUGUUUCCCCUCUCUGUCACUUGCUGCAAUCUUUUCAACGAAAACCACGUACAGGAAUUGGCAACCGUCCAAAAUACGCCCGAAAUUACGAUGAGUCACUCACAAAUAAGCCGCAUUGCAGCAGAAAACAUGAGAUGCUCUACAAAAUAGUGAUUGCUUUGCUGUACUGUUGGUUCCAUCGGGAUUGAGCACAAGAAGGCACAUCUUUGAUUCCUUGUACGAUGUGUGGCUUUGAACACUGUGGCACCUGCUCAUUAACUCGUGUGCAUUGAAUUCAUUUAUCAACCUUUAGUUUGGUGGUAUACAUCCCAAGUUCAGUUCCAUAAAAUCAAGCCUGCACUUUUUUUUGGAAGGGCAAAAGAUUUGACACAUUCAUUAAUUAAGAAUGAGCUUAAGAAAGUUGCUAACCCGGAGGCGAAACAAAUGCCUACUCUCCCAACAUAAUAUCACUCAAGUGUUGAGCCCCGGCUAACACCCACUUGCACGUUUCAUCUCGGAUCUUGUCAAUGACUCUCAAGAUGUUGUUGAAGACUCUCGAGUUGCACUCAUUCCAAAUUACCCAUGGACGUUACUCUAUGGCCUCUGCUAAUCAUGCACAAUUAAUGGGGGCAUGGUCACUUUGUUUUAGUCUACCAUUUAUAAAAUUUGGGCUCUUGACAGUUUUUGGGCAUGGUACUAUUCACAUCUCGACUUGUCUUUUUUGUUUCUCUUUGUAUAUUUCGGAUUUUGAUCUGAAUUUUUAGGGGUUGUAGACACAUGUGUUCUGAACAUUCACAAAAAAAUUACACAUCUAAAAUUGUAAUUUUCAAGCUGGUAUCAUGGGAGCACUUACAAUACUGGAAAAACUGUAUACGCUGACUUAUUUCAGCUAAGCCGAGAGCCAAAGCGCUGGCUCUCGGCAAAUUUGAUGAAUAUACCUUACUUAUAGUAUCUUUCCGGCAUUGGUGGAACAUAAUUCAGAUCCGUAACACACUGAAACUAGUUGAAGUCAUCCUUGUCAUGAAGGAGAAUGUAGUUAUGCAGCGUCAUAAUUGCCGCAACAAUCAUUUUUUGUGUUUCAAUCAAUCUUGAGUAGUAUUUUGCAUUUCAUUUUCAAAACAACAAAGGCCCUCUCUAUGCAAUUGCAUCCGCUUGGAGGAGCGGGUCUUUUCUAAUUUCUCCAUAGGAUUAGUAGGGGUGCACCUCUCCGCAUGGUGGUUUUCCUCAAAGUCACAUCCCCAUUCGGUAUCCCGCAACUUGAGUUUCGGGAAUAUGUUGUGAUCACCUUUUAGCUUGUCCCAUUUGAUUUUAAAUCAGACAUAUUUGUAUUCGAGCCUGAUUCACAUCUUGAAUUUCCUUCACACCUCCUCAAAUGCAUUUGGCAUCAAAUAAUUGUUUGGCCUAUUUGCAGCCUUCACUUGCUCCACAAACAACUCAGUGAGAACCCUAGUAUUUUCAUAGGUCCAUUCUGUGGCCAUGCUCAACAAUUGUCUGGGAAAAUCCAUGUCACUUUGGUGCUCACAUGUACUAGGAAAAUACACAUCGAUUGGAGCGUAGGUGCUUCUGUACAUAGCCAAACUCAUGUAAUAUAAAUUGAUGAUGCCCGGCCCAUUGUUGGGGGAAGUGCUACGUCUUGAGCUUGCGUUGGUUUUCCCCGAAGAGGAAGGGAUGAUGCAGCAGAGUAGCGUAAGUAUUUCCCUCAGUUUUUGAGAACCGAGGUAUCAAUCCAGUAGGAGGACACGCUCAAGUCCCUUGUACCUGCACAAAACGAUAGCUACUCGCAACCAACGCGAUUAGGGGUUGUCAAUCCCUUCACGGUCACUUACGAGAGUGAUAUCUGAUAGAUAUAAUAUUUUUGGUAUUUUUGGUAAAAAGAUGCAAAGUAAAAAAUAAAAGCAAAGUAAACAAGCAAAGCAAGAUUAAAGUGAUGGAGAUUGAUAUGAUGAGAAUAGACCCGGGGACCAUAGGUUUCACUAGUGGCUUCUCUCAAGAGCAUAAGUAUUCUACGGUGGGUGAACAAAUUAUUGUUGAGCAAUUGACAGAAUUGAGCAUAGUUAUGAGAAUAUCUAGGCAUGAUCAUGUAUAUAGGCAUCACGUCCGUGACAAGUAGACCGAAACGAUUCUGCAUCUACUACUAUUACUCCACUCAUCGACCGCUAUCUAGCAUGCAUCUAGAGUAUUAAGUUAAAAACAGAGUAACGCCUUAAGCAAGAUGACAUGAUGUAGAGAGAUAAAUUCAUGCAAUAUGAAAUAAACCCCAUCUUGUUAUCCUCGAUGGCAACGAUACAAUACGUGCCUUGCUGCCCCUUCUGUCACUGGGUAAGGUCACCGCAAGAUCGAACCCAAAGCUAAGCACUUCUCCCAUGGCAAGAACUACCAAUCUAGUUGGCCAAACCAAACGAAUAAUUCGAAGAGACUUGCAAAGAUAACCACUCAUACAUAAAAGAAUUCAGAGAAGAUUCAAAUAUUAUUCAUAGAUAGACUUGAUCAUAAACCCACAAUUCAUCGGUCUCAACAAACACACCGCAAAAAGAAGAUUACAUCGAAUAGAUCUCCACAAGAGAGGGGGGGACUUUGUAUUGAGAUUCAAAGAGAUAGAAGAAGCCAUCUAGCUACUCACACUUCAUCGGAAAGGCUAUGAUGAUGUAGAAGCCCUCCGUGAUGACGACCCUCUUCCGGCGGAGCUCCGGAACAGGCCCUAAGAUGGGAUCUCGUGGAUACAGAAAGUUGCGGCGGUGGAAUUAGGUUUUUAGCUCCUCUUCUGAUCAUUUGGGGGUACGUAGGUAUAUAUAGGAGGAAGGAGUACGCCGGAGGAGCACCGAGGGGCCCACGAGGUAGGGGCGCGCCCUAGGGGGGCGCCCCCCACCCUCGUGACCGCCUCUUUUGUUCCUUGGAGCAGGGUCCAUGUCUCCUGGAUCACGUUCGGUGAGAAAAUCACGUUCCCGAAGGUUCUAUUCCGUUUGGACUCCGUUUCUUCGAAACACUGAAAUAGGCAAAAAACAGCAAUUCUAGGCUGGGCCUCCGGUUAAUAGGUUAGUCCCAAAAAUAAUAUAAAAGUGGAAAAUAAAGCCCAAUAUAGUCCAAAACAGUAGAUAAUAUAGCAUGGAGCAAUCAAAAAUUAUAGAUACGUCGGAGACGUAUCAGGCAUCCCCAAGCUUAAUUCCUGCUCGUCCUCGAGUAGGUAAAUGAUAAAAAGAGAAUUUUUGAUGCGGAGUGCUACUUGGCAUAAUUUCAAUGCAAACCUUCUUAAUUGUGAUACGAAUAUUCAGAUUCGAAAGAUUCAAGACAAAAGUUUAUAUUGACAUAAAAAUAAUAGUACUUCAAGCAUACUAACAAAGCAAUUAUGUCUUCUCAAAAUAACAUGGCCAAGGAAAGUUAUCCCUACAAAAUAAUAUAGUCUGGCUAUGCUCUAUCUUCACCACACAAAGUAUUUAAAUCAUGCACAACCCCGAUGACAAGCCAAGCAAUUGUUUCAUAUUCUAACUUUUUCAAAACUUUUUCAAUCUUCACGCAAUACAUGAGCAUGAGCCAUGGAUAUAGCACUAUAGGUGGAAUAGAAUGGUGGUUGUGGAGAAGACAAAAAGGAGGGGAAGAUAGUCUCACAUCAACUAGGCGUAUCAACGGGCUAUGGAGAUGCCCAUCAAUAGAUAUCAAUGUGAGUGAGUAGGGAUUGCCAUGCAACGGAUGCACUAGAGCUAUAAGUAUAUGAAAGCUCAAAAAGAAACUAAGUGGGUGUGCAUCCAACUUGCUUGCUCAUGAAGACCUAGGGCAAUUUGAGGAAGCCCAUCAUUCGAAUAUACAAGCCAAGUUCUAUAAUGUAAAAUUCCCACUAGUAUAUGAAAGUGAUAAUAUGAGAGACUCUCUACUAUGAACAUCAUGGUGCUACUUUGAAGCACAAUUGUGGUAAGAGGAUAGUAACAUUGUCCCUUCUCUCUUUUUCUAUCAUUUUUUUAUAUUUUUUAUUUGGGCCUUUUCUCUUUUUUAUGGCCUCUUUUUAUUUGGGCUUCUUUGGCCUCUUUUAUUUAUUUUUCAUCCGGAGUCUCAUCCCGACUUAUGGGGGAAUCAUAGUCUCCGUCAUUCUUUCCUCACUUGGGACAAUGCUCUAAUAAUGAUGAUCAUCACACUUUUAUUUUUCUUAUAACUCAACAAUUACAACUCGAUACUUAGAACAAAAUAUGACUCUAUGUGAAUGCAUCCGGCGGUGUACCGGGAUAUGCAAUAUGACAAUGAUGAAUGUGUCAUGAUGAACUAGAUGGUGGAAAGUUGCAUGGCAAUAUAUCUCGGAAUGGCUAUGGAAAUGCCAUAAUAGGUAGGUAUGGUGGCUGUUUUAAGAAAGGUAUAUGGUAGGCGUAUGAUACCGGCGAAAGGUGCGCGGUAUUAGAGAGGCUAAUAAAGGUGGAAGGGUGAGAGUGCGUAUAAUCCAUGGACUCAACAUUAGUCAUAGAGAACUCAUAUACUUAUUGCAAAAAUCUAGAAGUUAUCAAAGCAAAGUAUUACGCGCAUGCUCCUUGGGGGAUAGAUUGGUAGGAAAAGACCAUUGCUCGUCCCCGACCGUCACUCAUAAGAAAGACAAUCAAUAAAUAAAUCAUGCUCCGACUUCAUCACAUAAUGGUUCACCAUACGUGCAUGCUACGGGAAUCACAAACUUUAACACAAGUAUUCUUUAAAUUCACAACUACUCAACUAGCAUGACUUUAAUAUUAUCACCUCCAUCUAUCAAAACAAUUAUCAAGCUUCAAUCUUUUCUUAGUAUUCAACACACUCAAAAGAAAGUUUCACAAAUCUUGAAUACCAAGCAUAUUAUUAUUAAGCAAAUUACCAUGCUAUUAAGAGACUCUAAAAAUAAUUUAAGUGAAGCAUGAGAGAUCAAUAGUUUCUUUAAAACAAAUCCAUCACCGUGCUCUAAAAGAUCUAAGUGAAGCACAUAGAGCAAAAUUAUAACGCUCAAAAGAUAUAAGUGAAGCACAUAGAGCAAAACUACUUAGCUCAAAAUAUAUAAGUGAAGCACAUAGAGUAUUCUAUCAAAUUUUAAUUCAUGUAUGGCUCUCUCAAAAGGUGUGUACAGCAAGGAUGAUUGUGGCAUACUAAGACACAAAGACACAAAUAAUACAAGACGCUCCAAGCAAAACACAUAUCAUGUUGGUGAAUAAAAAUAUAGCUCCAAGUAAAUUACCGAUGGAAGUGGAUGAAAGAGGGGAUGCCUCCCGGGGCAUCCCUAAGCUUUGACUUCUUGGUGUCCUUGGAUUUUCUUGGGGGUGCCAUGGGCAUCCCCAAGCUUAGGCUCUUGCCACUCCUUGUUCCAUAAUCCAUCAAAAGAAUUCACCCAAAACUUGAAAACUUCACAACACAAAACUCAAAAUAGAAAACUCGUGAGCUCCGUUAGAGAAAGAAAACAAAAGACCACUUCAAGGUACUGUAAUGAACUCAUUCUUUAUUUAUAUUAGUGUUAAAACUACUGUAUUCCAACUUCUCUAUGGAUUAUAAACUAUUCUACUAGCCAUAGAUUCAUCAAAAUAAGCAAACAACACACGAAAAACAGAAUCUGUCAAAAAACAGAACAGUCUGUAGUAAUCUGUAGCUAGAUCAAGAUCUGGAACCCCAAAAAUUCUAAAAUAAAUUUAUGUACGUGAGUAAUUUAUCUAUUAAUCAUAUUCAAAAAGAAUUAAAUAAAUAUCACUCUUCAAAUAAAAAUGACAGCAGUUCUCGUGAGCGCUAAAGUUUCUGUUUUUAUAGCAAGUUCAACAAGACUUUCCCCAAGUCUUCCCAACGGUUCUACUUGGCACAAACACUAAUUAAACACAAAAAACACAACCAAAACAGAGGCUAAAUAAUUUAUUUAUUACUAAGCAGGAGCAAAAAGCAAGGAAUAAAAAUAAAAUUGGGUUGCCUCCCAACAAGCGCUAUCGUUUAACGCCCCUGGCUAGGCAUAAAAGCGAGGAUAGAUCUAAGUAUUGCCAUAGUAAUAAGAUAGAUCGGUGAAGCUCAUUUCAUAUUCUCUACGUUCAGCAGCAAGUUUUCUUUGAGGCAAGCAAAAGUAAUCAAAAGGGCUAAAUUUAAUAGGACAGAAGUCUCCAAGAUCAAUUUUAGGAGGUAUAGGUUCCUCUUUCGGCCCUUCGUAUUGUACAACCAAUUCAUCAUUAUAAGCAUUCUUUUGACAGAACUUUGUGAGCCUAGACUCAAGAGAGUAUUCUAGCUCAUUAUUUCGAAUAGCCAAAUCAUCAUUAAGUUCAGAGAUUCUAUCAAUUAAAAUAUUGGUUGGCACCUUUUUUCUGAGGUUUUCAUUAAAAGCAACAUAGUCAGGAGAUUGAAAGCACAUAAUUUCUUCUUGAUCGAAGAGAAUAGAUUCUAUGGGAGGACGACCAGCGUCCACCCUAUAGUGCGCAAAGAUUUCUUUGGCUUCUUUUAUUAUAAAUCUGAAUUCAUGAGCCAAAAAGAUAGUAGCGGCACGCUUAACAGAGGAAUGCUCAAUAUUAGAAAAUUCUAGAAAAACUCUUUGUAUAGAUGGGUGCAUAUGAAUAAAUUGCCUUUCAAGUUCAACGAUAAGCAUGGCAAUAGCGUCCGCAAGACUACUAGUUAUAUGGAGAAUAGAACCGCCCAUAGAGGGCAAAGCACCGGCACAAGUAAAGAAAUCUUGAAUAACUCCUUUUCCAAUAAUAUUACCACUACCGAUUCGAAAUCUUUUUGAAUGGUAGGUAGGGGGUUCUUCAGCAGGAGCAUCAGAAUUUUCCAUGAUAUUGUUAUCACCCAUAUUGGCGAUAACUUCCCCAAUUUCAAACAUAACGACAAGCAAGCAAACUAGCACACAAGCAAACAAGAGGCAAGCGGAAAGGAGAGGGAGGAUAGAGAGAGAGAGAGGGCGAAUAAAACGGCAAGGGUGAAGUGGGGGAGAGGAAAAUGAGAGGCAAAUGGCAAAUAAUGUAAUGCGAGAGAUAGGGAUUGUGAUGGGUACUUGGUAUGUUGAAUUUUUGCGUAGACUCCCCGGCAACGGCGACAGAAAUCCUUCUUGCUACGUCUUGAGCUUGCGUUGGUUUUCUCCGAAGAGGAAGGGAUGAUGCAGCAGAGUAGCGUAAGUAUUUCCCUUAGUUUUUGAGAACCAAGGUAUCAAUCCAGUAGGAGGCCACGCUCAAGUCCCUCAUACCUGCACAAAACGAUACCUACUCGCAACCAACGCGAUUAGGGGUUGUCAAUCCCUUCACGGUCACUUACGAGAGUGAGAUCUGAUAGAUAUAAUAUUUUUGGUAUUUUUGGUAUAAAGAUGCAAAGUAAAAAAUAAAAGCAAAGUAAAAAAGCAAAGCAAGAUUAAAGUGAUGGAGAUUGAUAUGAUGAGAAUAGACCCGGGGUCCAUAGGUUUCACUAGUGGAUACUCUCAAGAGCAUAAGUAUUCUACGAUGGGUGAACAAAUUACUGUUGAGCAAUUGACAGAAUUGAGCAUAGUUAUGAGAAUAUCUAGGCAUGAUCAUGUAUAUAGGCAUCACGUCCGUGACAAGUAGACCGAAACGAUUCUGCAUCUACUACUAUUACUCCACUCAUCGACCGCUAUCCAGCAUGCAUCUAGAGUAUUAAGUUAAAAAUAGAGUAAUGCCUUAAGCAAGAUGACAUGAUGUAGAGAGAUAAAUUCAUGCAAUAUGAAAUAAACCACAUCUUGUUAUCCUCGAUGGCAACGAUGCAAUACGUGCCUUGCUGCCCCUUAUGUCACUGGGAAAGGACACCACAAGAUCGAACCCAAAGCUAAGCACUUCUCCCAUGGCAAGAACUACCAAUCUAGUUGGCUAAACCAAACGGAUAAUUCGAAGAGACUUGCAAAGAUAACCAAUCAUACAUAAAAGAAUUCAGAGAAGAUUCAAAUAUUAUUCAUAGAUAAACUUGAUCAUAAACCCACAAUUCAUCGGUCUCAACAAACACAUCGCAAAAAGAAGAUUACAUCGAAUAGAUCUCCACAAGAGAGGGGGAGAACUUUGUAUUGAGAUUCAAAGAGAGAGAAGAAGCCAUCUAGCUACUAACUAUGGACCCGAAGGUCUGAGGUAAACUACUCACACUUCAUCGGAGAGGCUAUGAUGAUGUAGAAGCCCUCCGUGAUGACGGCCCUCUUCCGGCGGAGCUCCGGAACAGGCCCUAAGAUGGGAUCUCGUGGAUACAGAAAGUUGCGGUGGUGGAAUUAGGUUUUUGGCUCCUCUUCUGAUCGUUUGCCGGUACGUAGGUAUAUAUAGGAGGAAGGAGUACGCCGGAGGAGCACCGAGGGGCCAAUGAGGCAGGGGGCGCGCCCUAGGGGGGGCGCCCCCACCCUUGUGACCGCCUCUUUUGUUCCUUGGAGUAGGGUCCAAGUCUCCUGGAUCACGUUCGGUGAGAAAAUCACGUUCUCUAAGGUUUUAUUCCGUUUGGACUCCGUUUGAUAUUCUGUUUCUUCGAAAUACUGAAAUAGGCAAAAAACAGCAAUUCUGGGCUGGGCCUCCGGUUAAUAGGUUAGUCCCAAAAAUAAUAUAAAAGUGGAAAAUAAAGCCCAAUAUAGUCCAAAACAGUAGAUAAUAUAGCAUGGAGCAAUCAAAAAUUAUAGAUACGUUGGGGACGUAUCAGGAAGCUUGUUAAGAAAAAUGCAUUCAUAGUUCCUAAGACAACCAGAACUGAUGAAAAGAAAAUGUAAGCUUAUAAAACUAUAGAAAUUGGGAAGCGUAUAAAAAUAUGAAAAAAAUUAGUUAAAAGAAUGCUAUUUCUAACAAAAACAUGAAGGAUGAACUACAUAGGUAUGCUGCAAUCGCCUAACACAUAUAUUGUCAAUAAAAAGUCUAGUGUAGAAAAUUAACUUAUGACCAACAUGUAUUAAUUGAUGGUGUGGCAAUGCUGUGUGCAUAGAUUAGUGCAAAAAAAACUUAUAACUUACAUGCAUGACUUGCUUAUCUGGCAUGGUGGCAUGGCUAAGAAAAAUAGACAAUAGUUUGUAGCUAUUUAGGAAUAGAGGGUGUGUUCAAUUUUUUAUUGUGUGCAUAUGCGCAUCUGCCCAUGUUUGCACACAUAUAAACACAUCGCAGUAUACUUGGCACACUUCAAAUUAAGAAGCUAGGCAACAUUUGCACACAUUGCACACAUAUCACUAUACAUCACACAUUCAAAGAUACCACCACAAGAAAGUAAAAGGGGAGCUCACCACGGGUCUGGGCGAGGGGGCUUUGGCGAGGACUACCGUCUGGGUGAGCCAAGAAGAGGAUGGCAAGCUCAGAGGUGGGGGCAAAUGGGUAAGCGUCAGUGGGGAAGCUCGACAGUCGGUGAUGGAGUAGUUGUGUGCCUCGGGUUUGCAUCACAAGGGAGAAAAUGGAGAGAGAGAGAGAGCAUGGCGGAGGGGCAAUCUACGCAAUCCUUGAAGGAAAUAUGCCCUAGAGGCAAUAAUAAAGUUGUUAUUUAUAUUUCCUUAUAUCAUGAUAAAUGUUUAUUAUUCAUGCUAGAAUUGUAUUAACCGGAAACUUAGUACAUGUGUGAAUACAUAGACAAAAUAGAGUGUCCCUAGUAAGCCUCUACUUGACUAGCGUGUUAAUCAAAGAUGGUCAAGUUUCCUGACCAUAGACAUGUGUUGUCAUUUGAUGAACGAGAUCACAACAUUAGAGAAUGAUGUGAUGGACAAGACCCAUCCGUUAGUUUAGCAUAAUGAUCGUUAAGUUUUAUUGCUAUUGCUUUCUUCAUGACUUAUACAUAUUGCUCUGACUAUGAGAUUAUGCAACUCCCGAAUACCGGAGGAACACCUUGUGUGCUAUCAAACGUCACAACAUAACUGGGUGAUUAUAAAGAUGCUCUAUAGGUGUCUCUGAAGGUGUUUGUUGGGUUGGCAUAGAUCGAGAUUAUGAUUUGUCACUCCGAGUAUCGGAGAGGUAUCUCUGGGUCCUCUCGGUAAUGCACAUCACUAUAAGCCUUCCAAGCGAUGUGACUAAUGAGUUAGUUACGAAAUGAUGCAUUAUGGAAUGAGUAAAAAGACUUGCCAGUAAUGAUAUUGAACUAGGUAUGAUGAUACCGACGAUCGAAUCUCGAGCAAGUAACAUACCGAUGACAAGGGAAAUAACGUAUGUUGUUAUUGCGGUUUAACCGAUAAAGAUCUUCGUAGAAUAUGUAGGAACCAAUAUGAGCAUCCAAGUUCCACUAUUGGUUAUUGACCGGAAAUGUGUCUCGGUCAUGUCUACAUAGUUCUCGAACCCGUAGGGUCCGCACACUUAAUGUUCGAUGACAAUUUGUAUUAUGAGUUAUGUAUUUUGGUGACCGAAGUUUGUUUGGAGUCCCGGAUGAGAUCACGGAUGUGACGAUCUCGAAAUGGUCGAGAGGUAAAGAUUGAUAUAUUGGAACGUAGUAUUCGGACACCGGAAGGGUUCCAGAGUGUAACGGGUACAUACCGGAGUACCGGAGGGGUUACGGGAAACCCCCGAGGAAAGAUAUGGGCCAUAUGGGCCAUAGGAGGGAGGCUAACCAGCCCACAAGGGGCUGGUGCGCCCCCCACAAGGGAGGAGGCCGAAUUGGUUUAGGGAAGGGGGCGCCACCCCCCUCCCCCCUUUCCUUCUCCUACUCCCUCUCCUUCCCCCUUUCCACCUCCAUGAGAAGGAAAAGAGGCGGGGGGGGGGGGCGAAUCCUACUGGGACUAGGAGUCCUAGUAGGCCUCCCCCCCUUAUGGUGCGCCCCUAGGGCCGGCCUCCUCCCUCUCCCUCCUUUAUAUACGUGGGUAGGGCACCCCUUGGAGACACACCAAUUGUUCCAAGCCGUGUGCGGCGUCUCUCUCCACGGUUUACUCUUCCAGUCAUAUUCACGAGUGCUUAAGCGAAGCCCUNNNNNNNNNNNNNNNNNNNNNNNNNNNNNNNNNNNNNNNNNNNNNNNNNNNNNNNNNNNNNNNNNNNNNNNNNNNNNNNNNNNNNNNNNNNNNNNNNNNNNNNNNNNNNNNNNNNNNNNNNNNNNNNNNNNNNNNNNNNNNNNNNNNNNNNNNNNNNNNNNNNNNNNNNNNNNNNNNNNNNNNNNNNNNNNNNNNNNNNNNNNNNNNNNNNNNNNNNNNNNNNNNNNNNNNNNNNNNNNNNNNNNNNNNNNNNNNNNNNNNNNNNNNNNNNNNNNNNNNNNNNNNNNNNNNNNNNNNNNNNNNNNNNNNNNNNNNNNNNNNNNNNNNNNNAACCAGCCCACAAGGGGCUGGUGCGCCCCCCACAAGGGAGGAGGCCGAAUUGGUUUAGGGAAGGGGGCGCCACCCCCCUCCCCCCUUUCCUUCUCCUACUCCCUCUCCUUCCCCCUUUCCACCUCCAUGAGAAGGAAAAGAGGCGGGGGGGGGGGGCGAAUCCUACUGGGACUAGGAGUCCUAGUAGGACUCCCCCCCUUAUGGUGCGCCCCUAGGGCCGGCCUCCUCCCUCUCCCUCCUUUAUAUACGUGGGUAGGGCACCCCUUGGAGACACACCAAUUGUUCCAAGCCGUGUGCGGCGUCUCUCUCCACGGUUUACUCUUCCAGUCAUAUUCACGAGUGCUUAAGCGAAGCCCUGCGCGGAUCACAUCGCCAUCACCGCCACCAUGCCGUCGUGCUGACGGAACUCUCCCUUGACCCUCUGCUAGAUCAAGAGUUCGAGUGACGUCAUCGAGCUGAACGUUUGCUGAACUCGGAGGUGUCGUACGUUCGGUACUAGAUCGGUUGGAUCGUGAAGACGUUCGACUACAUCAACCGCGUUAACCUAACGCUUUCGCUUUCGGUCUACGAGAGUACGUGGACACACUCUCCCCCUCUCGUUGAUAUGCAUCUCCUAGAUAGAUCUUGUGUGAUUGUAGGAUUUUUUUUUUGAAAUUGCAUGCUACGUUCCCCAACAAUCCUACCUAGCCUACCUAACUAAAUACCCCUGAAUUUCACUAUCUUGAUGUAGAUCCCCAAUGAGGCAUUACAGGCGUGGCCACCACUGCAAUGGGUGGGUGGCGGUGUUUGUGGUCCUCUCACUGACAUUCUUCCACAAAGUCGCGACAAUGUUGCUCUGUCAUGAUACCAAUCUUGAUCUACUUAUCAUCACGAGCAACACCUAUGUAGCGAAGGUGAAGAUUUCAACCACAGGGCGGCAUCACCCUAUAGGUUGACACUCUAGAAGAAGGCCGCAAUAGAGAAACACCAUACGGGGGCAGAGCAGAGAAGCAAAGGAUGGAGAGGUGGUGGUGGCACCGUCCGUGCCCCAAACAUAGUCGUGUUCGCCUCCCUUUGUCGCCUUCGGGAAAAGCAAGUACACCCUUAUGUUUUUCCCAUUAAGUUUUUUCUCAUCUUAGUUAUGAAGGAGACAAUACUAAUUGCAUGUUGUAUACCAUCUUCUCAAUUUUUCCAAGAGUUUAGAAGGAAUUGCAACAGCAUAUCAAGUGUUACUGUCCUUUGACUGUUUACGGUGGUGUGUACGAGUUUGGAGCAUCUUGCUAGUGAUGUUUUUAUCGACAUGGGUGGCGACAUAAUGUAUACAGUCCCUCCAUCCAAAUAUAUAUGGUCUAAUACAUGUUUCGAGGUUACCUUUGACCAUUGAUAAAAUUGUUAAUAUAAGAGAUGUACGAUAUAAAUUAGGAACUCAUUUCAUAUACGAAUUUGACGGUAUGCUCCGUGUAACAUGCAUGCCAUAUAUUAUUGAUCUAACAUGUGGUGAAACUUAACCUUGAAAACAUAUUAUGCUCUAUAUUUUUCUAUUGGAGGGAGUAUAGGCUUUCCACUCCAUACAUCUAGGCAUAGUCACGGUCUUGUUUGACUUUGCUUUUACCGGCGUAGUACUUUGUGCGAGUUUGCAUUGGUUGUACUAUAUGACUUUACUCAUUAGCUUGUAUCACCUUGAUGCCAUAUUAUGUGUCAAUAAAAACCGUUAUAUAUCAAAAAAAACUCUCCUCACAUCUUCCGACAUCACUUUUGGGGGAUUCUUAGAAUUAUAAGGCUGGCUGUAAUGAGGAGUAUCAUAUAGUAGUAUCAUGCAUAUGAUACUAGUGUAUGUUACUAUCUCGUAAUGCAUAGUAUCAUAUAUUAGUAUCAUGUAGCACUUUAUUUAUUGUCAUGCAUGACACAAAGUAGCAUAGCAUUUAUUAUGAUACAGUAUCAUGAUAUGAUACUCCAUCCUCUUUUUCUUCAUUUAGUGCUAUGACACCUCAUCAGUGGCGGAGCCAGAAACUUAAUAUAGAGGGGGCCAAACAGAGUGCUAUAAUGUUAGACGGGGCCAAAUCAACUAAAUCUUGCUAAUUAUGUUUGACAAAUGGAGGAUUAGGAGCAUAUAUAGUUGUAUUUGAGAGAGCAUAGGGGGGGCCUUGGCCCCUGCCAGCACCCCCCUGCCUCCGCCACUGCACCUCAUCAAAAUUGCCUAGUUGGCAUGCAUGAUACUAGCUAUGAUACUGCCAUUACGAUCAGCCGGAGAGAUUAUUAUUAAUCAGAUUGCUUAUUGCUACUCAAUAAAGAGAAGUUAGAUGCAUUUAUUUGUCUAUCUCUCUCGUUCUUUACUUCAACACAACCAAAGGAAAUGGAUGUGGACGGAAGUACUACACCGAGCGAAGCAGCAGGCAGCCAUCAUUGACGAACUACCCCGCUGACCCUCUACCCACUGGGUUUCAAUGCAGAACGUCCAUAGAUGCAGCCAUGCAUGCAUCAACCUUUUGCUGACCGUAGUCAAGUCGAAGUAGUAGUGCAAAUGCAAUUCAGUCACAGGGUGUUCAACUGAUAAUUGCACAGGACGAGAGCGAUUGAUAAUGCUCUUAGACUAGUCAUAGUGGGAGUAACUUAGACUAUCCACAAUGGAAGUAAUAUAGGUACUCCCUCCUUCCGUCUAUAUAGGGCCUAAUGCGUUCUUCAAGACCACCUUUGACUAUUAAUAAGAUUAAUAAUACAUGAGAUGUAUAAUGUGAAAAUUAUAUCACUGGAAGCUCCUUUCACGUACGAAUUUGACAGUAUGCUUUGUGUAACUUGCAUGUCAUAUAUUAUUGCUCUAACACUUGGUCAAAGUUAGCCUCGAAAAACGCAUUAGGCCCUAUAUAGAUGGAAGGAGGGAGUAGUAACAUCAUACAUGUUUAGAUAAAAUGGAUGAUGUAGCAAGCAAUAAAUGAAGAAAGAGAGGCGUGUGGUAACAUAGCUAGUUAGGCUGGUCACAAUGGGCAAGAACAUAGUCUAGUAACUUACACACUUCCCUAGACUAUGUUACUACCUCCACAGUGGGUAGAAACAUCUAUGUAGUGUCAUGCAACAAUGUAUUUAUUAGGUUAUAAACUCAUUGUUUUUUGGAGUGUGUGAUGUUCCGAUAACUUAGCUAGUUACCACAAGCAUCUCUCUCUUCAUUAAAUAUGUGACACAUAAGCAAAGUUGUAUUGGAGUGUGUGAUGUUACUCCUAAGUUCCUCCCCAUUGUGACCAGCCUUACUACUAGUAUGAGUAACAUCACACAUAUUAAGGCAAGAUGAGUCUAUGGCCUAAUAAAUGAAGUGUUGUAUGUUACCACACAUAUGUUACUAUCCACUAUAAAGGUAGUAACAUAGAGUAGCUAGUAACAUAGCGCAUUUCGAGAAAAUUCUGCUUAUGUGGCAAGUAAUUAACGAGAGGUGAUAACAUAAUAUGUUACUGUAACAUAGCGCUUUCCAAUACAAGAUGAGUCUACGAGCUAAUAAAUGAAGCCAUCUAUAAUACUACUAGUAUGUUACUUUCCAUUAUGAAGGUGGACUUGCAAACAUGUUUAUGUGACAGAUAAUUAAAGUAGUGAGAUGGUUAUAUAUAAAUGUGAUGCUAUUAUGUGUCAUGCAUAGUAAUAAAUGAGACCACAUAUUAUACUAAUUUAUGAUACUAUGCACUAUACUCCCUCCGUUUAGGUAUGCAAGUCACCUUAUAAAAACCAAAUAAUCCCAAAAUACUUAGGCACGGUACAUUAACUUCCUCCUCGUUUCUUGUUUUGUGACAUAUCAAUCAAUAAAAGAUGUGGACCGUGCAUGUUUUCAAUGACUUGAAACUAUCAAACAUGAUAUGCAGUGGUUAGUUCAUUAUAUGCAAUGCUAUUAAUUAGCAAAAAGGUAUUAAGUUUUCUCGUUUUUCUCCCUGCCUUGGUCACCUAGACAGAGGGAGUAGAGUAAGUUACUCCUCACUAUAACCAGCCUUAAUCACCCAUCUGCUCUAUGGCCGCGUAUUCGGACGGUGCAUGGCCAGGCCAACUAUAAAUACCCCAGGAGUUCCAGCACCCCUCUCCUCACCACCAUCUUUUUCCAUUCCCAUCACACAACGUACACCUCUGCGACCGCAAUAGCGAGAGGGAAGAGUAGAUCUGCGGCCAUGGCGAUGAGGAAGGAGGUCCUCCUGGCAGCCAUGAUGCUGCCGCUGGUGGUGGCGGAGCGCGUGCCGCGUGCGAGAUGGGGCAGCUGACGGUGUGCAUGCCGGCGAUCACCACCGGUGCCAAGCCGAGCGGCGCGUGCUGCUCCAACCUGCGCGCGCAGCAGGGGUGCUUCUGCCAGUACGCCAAGGACCCCUC
This 28074-nucleotide long non-coding RNA is filed under the name Triticum aestivum (bread wheat). Its description in RNAcentral is "long non-coding RNA (TAES_LNC006535)". The record is from RNAcentral. Lineage: Eukaryota; Viridiplantae; Streptophyta; Magnoliopsida; Poales; Poaceae.